AAUGAACGCUGGCGGCGUGCCUAACACAUGCAAGUCGUACGAGAAAUCCCGAGCUUGCUUGGGAGAGUAAAGUGGCGCACGGGUGAGUAACGCGUGGGUAACCCACCUUCGAAUCUGGGAUAACUCCGCGAAAGCGGUGCUAAUACCGGAUAAGACCACAGCCGUUUCGGCGGCAGAGGUAAAAGCUGACCUCUCCAUGGAAGUUAGCGUUCGAGGACGGGCCCGCGUCCUAUCAGCUUGUUGGUGGGGUAAAAGCCUACCAAGGCAGCGACGGGUAGCUGGUCUGAGAGGAUGAUCAGCCACACUGGAACUGGAACACGGUCCAGACUCCUACGGGAGGCAGCAGUGAGGAAUUUUGCGCAAUGGGGGAAACCCUGACGCAGCAACGCCGCGUGGGUGAAGAAGGCUUUCGGGUCGUAAAGCCCUGUCAGGUGGGAAGAGCCGUUUCGAUACUAAUAAUGUCGAAGCCUGACGGUACCACCAGAGGAAGCACCGGCCAACUCCGUG
Molecule: ribosomal RNA, 507 nt
Filed under: uncultured bacterium
Lineage: Bacteria
Description: bacterial SSU rRNA
Rfam family: Bacterial small subunit ribosomal RNA
Source: RNAcentral